AACCUCAUCGACCGGAAGGGAUUCCUUCUGGUUGAUGGGGUUGUUGUACCUCAUCAAUCUGAAGGAAAUCCUCCCAAUCAAUGAGGUAUAAAAACCCCAUCGACCGGAAGGAAUUCCUUCCAAUCGAUGAGGCG
RNAcentral lists this microRNA precursor (134 nucleotides) under Puccinia graminis f. sp. tritici CRL 75-36-700-3. Its description in RNAcentral is "microRNA MIR807". Lineage: Eukaryota; Fungi; Basidiomycota; Pucciniomycetes; Pucciniales; Pucciniaceae. The record is from RNAcentral.